ACAGCCCAAAAUCCAUUGCAGAUCACAAUACACACAACUGAAUGGGAGGCAGCAGUUACUGGCUACUACACAGAGGAUUAUGGCUUGAUUCUGCCAGAUGCUGGGUGCCUCCUGGGAGAUGCUAAGUGGCCUGGAAAUAGAGGGUGCUCAGCACUUCACAGGCAGAUCACAGGCUAGAUCGAUCUGCCUAAAAUGAAACAGCGCUAGAACAAAGGUCAAGAACUUGGAAGAAUUCAUUCGGGGGAACCAGGUCCAUCCUGACAUUGAGUAUGUCCCCAAUCCUUCAAAGAGUACUACGUGAGUAGACUUCUGCACCCACAUGGACUCGCAGUGAAGUCACUAUGUCUCUGCCUGAAUCCAGGAGCACCCAUCCUAGCUGUUCUCUCUGAUCCUGCAAACACACCCAGGACUAGACACAUGUAACGUUAUUCAGAUGAAUGAGCACUAGCAGAAUGGGGCAGCCCUACUCCAGCAUGACUAUUACAUCUGGGGUAGUGAAGUUUUUAAUGGCUUUAGGGUAGCAUUACGAAUAGAUGGUUUAAAAUAUAUUAUUGUAAAAUAAAGAACAUUGGACUUUUCCCA
Molecule: long non-coding RNA, 582 nt
Filed under: Chrysemys picta bellii (western painted turtle)
Lineage: Eukaryota; Metazoa; Chordata; Testudines; Emydidae
Description: lncRNA (ENSCPBG00000019830.1)
Source: RNAcentral